Ipomoea nil (Japanese morning glory) is the source of this 275-nucleotide long non-coding RNA. RefSeq lists it as uncharacterized. The transcript has 3 exons. The record is from RefSeq and is a predicted model, not a curated record. NCBI's taxonomy places the organism in Eukaryota, Viridiplantae, Streptophyta, Magnoliopsida, Solanales, Convolvulaceae.
AUUAGAAUGGGUGGCUUUCGCUUGGACCCCUCCCCUAUCACUGUUGAUAACUGGAGCUUGGUAAGAGUAUCUGAAUAUGGAUAUGCAAGACUGCAAGCGACAAAGAAAGAAUUGAAAGUUGAGUACAUGAAUGCAAACUCAGGAAAUGUAAGAGACAGCUUCCAGAUAACCAAGGCCACAAGAAAGUAGACUUAGAUAGGAUAUCUCAGCUGAAUAUACUGUAACAAUAUGAAAAAGAGUAGAAACAUUCAUACAAAAAAUGUAUACUCCCAAAA